This 148-nucleotide ribosomal RNA is filed under the name Candidatus Bathyarchaeota archaeon. Lineage: Archaea; Thermoproteati; Candidatus Bathyarchaeota. The record is from RNAcentral.
GUUGCCGGCCAUAGGGCGCGGGACCCACCCGAUCCCGUUCCGAAAAUAAGAGACGAGGUCUCUUAUCGGUAACUCGGAAGUUAAACCGCGCUCCGUUUCCGGUGUUAGUGUGGUCUUCGGCCACGUGAAGCCGGGAAAGCUGGCAGCC